ACACGAGCGGCGAACGGGUGAGUAACGCGUGAGUAACCUGCCCCCCUCUCUGGGAUAACAGUUGGAAACGGCUGCUAAUACCGGAUAUUCAGACCUUUAGGCAUCUUUUGGUUUGGAAAGUUCUGGCGGUGGGGGAUGGACUCGCGUCCUAUCAGCUUGUUGGUGGGGUAGUGGCCUACCAAGGCGACGACGGGUAGCCGGCCUGAGAGGGCGACCGGCCACAUUGGGACUGAGAUACGGCCCAAACUCC
This 250-nucleotide ribosomal RNA is filed under the name uncultured Actinobacteridae bacterium. RNAcentral's name for it is "partial 16S ribosomal RNA". It matches the Rfam family "Bacterial small subunit ribosomal RNA", at positions 89 to 339 of the family's 1533-position model. The record is from RNAcentral. Lineage: Bacteria; Bacillati; Actinomycetota; Actinomycetes.